ACAACAGCAGGGAAUAUGCGCUGAAUGUGGGUACCAUAGCUUCUCAGCCUUCUGUAACACAAGCAGCUGUGGCAAGUGUCAUUGAUGAAAGUACCACGGCAUCCAUAUUAGAGUCACAGGCACUGAAUGUGGAGAUUAAGAGUAAUCAUGACAAAAAUGUUAUUCCAGAUGAGGUGAUGAGACAAACCAUGCUUCUGCCACAUCAACACAGGACUUUUUGGAUCAAGUGACUUCUCAGAAGAAAGCUGAGGCCCAGCCUGUCCACCAAGCUUACCAAAUGAGCUCCUUUGAACAGCCCUUCCGUGCUCCAUAUCAU
Molecule: small RNA, 316 nt
Filed under: Pongo abelii (Sumatran orangutan)
Lineage: Eukaryota; Metazoa; Chordata; Mammalia; Primates; Hominidae
Description: processed transcript
Source: RNAcentral